RNAcentral lists this ribosomal RNA (513 nucleotides) under Anastrepha pallens. Its description in RNAcentral is "partial small subunit ribosomal RNA". The stretch from base 396 to 513 matches the Rfam family "Bacterial large subunit ribosomal RNA", at positions 2473 to 2590 of the family's 2925-position model. The record is from RNAcentral. Lineage: Eukaryota; Metazoa; Arthropoda; Insecta; Diptera; Tephritidae.
AAACAUGUCUUUUUGAGUUGAUUUUAAAGUCUAACCUGCCCACUGAAUAAUUUUUAAAUGGCCGCAGUAUUUUGACUGUGCAAAGGUAGCAUAAUCAUUAGUCUUUUAAUUGAAGGCUGGUAUGAAUGGUUGGACGAAGUAUAAGCUGUUUCAUAUAAAUUUAUUAUAGAAUUUUAUAUUUUAGUAAAAAAGCUAAAAUUUUAUUAAAAGACGAGAAGACCCUAUAAAUCUUUAUAUUUAAUUUUAUUUAAUUUUUUUUGAUUUAUUUAAUUUUAAUAAUAUUGAGUAUUUUGUUGGGGUGAUGUUAAAAUUUAAUUAACUUUUAAUUAAAAAAAAUCAUUAAUUUAUGAUUUAUUGAUCCAAUAGUAUUGAUUAUAAGAUUAAGUUACUUUAGGGAUAACAGCGUAAUUUUUUUUAAGAGUUCAUAUCGACAAAAAAGUUUGCGACCUCGAUGUUGGAUUAAGGUAUAAUUUUGGGUGUAGCUGUUCAAAUGUUAAGUCUGUUCGACUUUUA